UUAAUCGUCCGGGAAUCUAACCCGGGCCACCCGCAUUGCAGGCGAGCAUUCUACCACUGAACCACCGAUAGUUA
RNAcentral lists this transfer RNA (74 nucleotides) under Cordylochernes scorpioides. Its description in RNAcentral is "tRNA-Cys". Lineage: Eukaryota; Metazoa; Arthropoda; Arachnida; Pseudoscorpiones; Chernetidae. The record is from RNAcentral.